This 83-nucleotide small RNA is filed under the name pig gut metagenome. RNAcentral's name for it is "GA-cis RNA". It matches the Rfam family "GA-cis RNA". The record is from RNAcentral.
AGAGGAGGCGUCUAUGUGCCAACGGCACAUUUGAAAUGACGCCGACGACAUGUCGCAGAACGUAUGUGAUGCGACGUUACCAG